CACGUAAGUUGCGAGCGUUGUUCGGAAUUAUUGGGCGUAAAGGGCAUGUAGGCGGUUUUGAAAGCUUGAUGUGAAAUCCCACAGCUUAACUGUGGAACUGCAUUGAGAACUACGAGACUAGAGUUACUGAAGGGAAACUAGAAUUCCAAGUGUAGGGGUGAGAUCUGUAGAUAUUUGGAAGAAUACCAAUGGCGAAGGCAAGUUUCUGGCAGAUAACUGACGCUGAGGUGCGAAGGUGCGGGGAGCAAACAGGAUUAGAUACCCU
RNAcentral lists this ribosomal RNA (265 nucleotides) under uncultured prokaryote. RNAcentral's name for it is "partial 16S ribosomal RNA". It matches the Rfam family "Bacterial small subunit ribosomal RNA", at positions 524 to 788 of the family's 1533-position model. The record is from RNAcentral.